AAAAGAGAUGGUCCCUGAUAGGUGCCCAUAGAGGGUGAAGGACUGAAAUGGAGAAAGACCCAGGCAUGGCCUGGAGCCAAAGGAAUGGGAAGGCAGACACUCUUGUGGGAAGGACACUGGAUCAGGAGUCAAGACACCAGGGCUGCAGCCCUGGCUUGGCCGCCAACGGGAUGUGGACUGUCCCCAGGUCCACCUGACUCUGAGAUUCAUAAUCCCUUCUGCCCUGGAAACCGGGGCCGGAGCUCAGGUCAUCCUGUUCAGAGGCAGGGGGAUGGAUCUCUUGACCUGUGGAUUGGCGUGGAAGAGAGGGGGGAGAGAGAGAAGGAGGAAUAAAACUCCAUUUGGCCUUCCACAGUCAGGUACUUAGCAAAAACGUCCCCCAAAAGAGAUGUCAGCAUUCAAGUCUCCUGGGGAAAUUAGUCAUUCAGGGAAGUGUUACUGAAAUGUGUCGUGUUUCUCAAAAAGUAGCCAGGGGUCCCAAGGUCACCAUCUCUUUCAGGCAAUGCUGCCCCACUAGGAACAGCAGGCAGAAACUUCCUGCCUCCCUGAAGCAUGGGGAAAUGGUGGGUAAAAGGGUGGGAGGGGCCAGUCCCCAGUUCUGGUGCUGUCUCGUAUCGGGUCUCCAUUUUCAGGGGAUGUGCUGAUUCUCCCUCCCCCCACCCUCCCUGGGUCAUGCCCGCCUCCUGGGGUCCCCAGCUUCUCCUUCACCUGCCAACCUGCCUCUCGGUUCAGCUCUAGUUGGGAGCAGAGAGUCCCCAUGGAGCCCUAAGGGUGGAGCCCUGUUGGGCUGGG
Long non-coding RNA from Herpailurus yagouaroundi (jaguarundi), 792 nucleotides. RefSeq lists it as uncharacterized. Lineage: Eukaryota; Metazoa; Chordata; Mammalia; Carnivora; Felidae. The record is from RefSeq and is a predicted model, not a curated record. The transcript is spliced from 3 exons.